UUUUUUUUUUUUUUUAUAUAUAGUAGCCAUCCUAGUGGGUGUGAGUGCACACUUAUUUUUAAUGUAGAUAGUGGAUACCAUAUUACUGGAAAUUUUAUAGAAAAAAUAAAAAUAAACACUUUCUGGAAUGGAAAAAGGCAACUGCUUUAAAAUGGAUGAAAGUCAUUCUUCCUUAGAUUCAUAGGGAUAGAUUAUUGGCUAUGAAAUCUAUCUUUGUUGAGUUAAGGAAAGCUGUAUCACUUCUAUCUGAUUUCAAUUAUUCUGAUAGAGUACUAUAAUGGCAGCACUGGAGAAAGAGGGAAAGAUCUUCAGGGCAUAUAAGAAUGCAUCACCAAAAGACGCUGUUGCCUGAUACAGUAUCAAAAAUUUUCAGCCUGGUAUUUCUGGCAACUCCAAUGCAAAGCUCUGACCUCCUGGCAGGGCCUGUGCUGAAUUUGGUUAGAAUUAAUACAGGAGCACUUCACAUCUUAAAUCCAACUGUUUCUGGUAAUAAAUUAAUACUAUUUUUAUUGAAAAAUAAUUUUUAUGCCUUCUGAGACGUGAUAUUCUAAUUUUGAUGGGUUUCUCAGUUUAUCCCAAGAGUAAGUGAUUUCCUUCUUAUACAUAGUUUCAAACAAAUUGAAACUUUAACUACUAAGGAACUCCUGGACAUCAACUGGUUCAUACUUCUGGAGGAUAAUUUGACAAUAUGUCAAAAGCCUUACAAGAUACAUAAUCAUUUGUGAUACAUUAUUAUCUUAAUGAAAUUGCGCAAUGAAUUAACAAAAAUGGAGAUUCAAAGAUGUUCAAGGAUGCUCAAGAGUAGGGACUGGUUAAAAAAUGCAUCUGAACAUUAGAAUCUGUGCAGCCAUUAAACAUAGUUCUAUAGCUUUAGGUUUUAUUAACACUAUUUUAUGCUUUUUAUAUACUUUUAUGCAAGUUCUGUAACAUAUAUUUUAUGUACUUUUAGUAUAGUGUUAUUAAUAUCAAAAAGCAUUCAUAAUAUAUCAAGUGGUAAAAUCAAGGUAGAAAGCCAUAAUUGUAAGUACAAGGCAGAAAAAAACCAUGUGUGUAUGAGUGUGUAUUACACCAUAACUGAUACAUGUUAAAUAAAACUCAUUACAUGUUAAACUGAAUACAUACCUACAGAAUUACAAUUCUCUUCUGCAAUUACAGAAGAGAAUCAUGAAAUACACAAAUUUACUAAUUUUUCUGGAUUGAGGUUGAGAUGAAUUUCAUCUUCUUGUUUAUUAUCUCUACUUUUCAAUUUUCUAUAAAAAUUUACAUACUUGUGUCAUAUAAAAUAAUAAAAGGAGUGGAUAGAUGGCCAGAAUGCAUGCAAGCCAUUUCCCAGGUUGAUCCACACUGAUUUUAGCCUUGGUCUCUGAGAUUCAGGGCUGACCAACACUACUGAAGAUGGCAACCUCCCACCGCCAGAGGGAGCAACAAGCUGAGAGGCUGACAUCUGUGCAGGAUGGUCCUGAUGCUCAGAGAGUUUAACACCUUAACAGAGCCUUUUUCACUUUUGUUCCAGGAACUCCGUUGACUAGAGAAUUUAAUAGUGAAAGAGAAAAAAAUGUUGCCUUCUAUUUACAAUGCCCUGCUUUCACUCUGCCAAGAGCGGAAAGGUAAAACAGACUUAAUUGUGGUCAAGAAUUUAUUUUAAAAACAAUUAUUUGCUGGUUCUCAAUCCCACAAUAAUGCUGAAGAAUCUAAAAAGCAGUCCAUCAUCCUACAAAAGAGUUAUAGACAGAGAUCCCUCGUAUGGUAUAGCUCUCACCAACCUAGGAAAGCUCUAGUUUGAUCUGUGCCAUGAAAAAGAUGACACUGAUUAUCAUCUACCUACCCAGAAGAAUGAUUAAUUUAAGAUAAAUAGAUGCUGACUUCAGACAUACUGACUGCAUUUCCCAGAUACUAUUGCAGCAACACUCACUCACUUCAGAUGUUAUGAAGUAUUCGGAGGGAUCACGCUUUUCUACUCAUGUAACACAAAGCAUUCAAGAUGUAAUCUAGCUCUCUAUGUGGUAGAGUUGACUUUUAUUCCACCAUCACCUUGCCAACAGAAAUCUCUUCUUCCUUAACUUUACUUUUCAUAACAUAAACUUUUUGUUUUUUUCAUUGCCUACCUUAAUAUUUCAUUAAAUAAAAAUGGCUUAACUGUAAAAUAUAAUAGUGAAAUACAGUUAAUGGCUUAACUGUAAAAUAUAAUAGUGAAAUUUGUAUAAUAGUGAAAUUAUUAUGAAAUUAAGUAAAGAGAAACUAGCAAUCACAACCUGAUAAUUUUUUUAAAUGUUGCAGAGCCUGACUAUGCUUUAGCUUUCCCUGGAAAGAUUUUUAUUUUUUCUACAAAUUAGCUUUUCAAAAGUGCAGGUUAUAAGUGUAAAGCUGUCUUUAGUCAAAAAAAAAAAACUACAGAUUUUUAAUUUCUUAAUUCACAAAGAAAACAGUGAGUUGAGGGCAAAGAGGAUGUGCACCAAACCAGAGAUCUGCACUUGGAUUCCAAUAACAUUAUGACCAAGAAUUUCUCUCCUUUUAUGAGGCAUAGGGUUUGGAGGAUAACCUUAUGAAACAUGUAAGACUAGCCUGGCUCUCAAAUACAUCACUAGAAGUAAAUUUCUAACAACCAAAAAUGAGUUAUUGAACCCGUCACACCAUUGGCCUCCACCUCUGGAAAUUCAUUAAACAUUACUUCCCACAACCCUGUGAGCCUGGGCCAAAAUAGGUCUUUAAUCAAGAGCUAAAGCUUAAAGGUAUGCUUUCUUUUUACUGCUGCACUGUCUUAUUAAAAAGUUACACACACACAAAUGAAAUAGAUCUUGAAUAUGAAUAGCCAAGUACAAUAUUUUGUGAAAGAGAUUACAGAUUUUACCUAUUAGCAAUGGCUAGGCCAGGCUAUUUCUCUACCUUGUAAAAAGAUUCCCUAAAAUAUCCAGAUAUGAUAGUUAUCUUACAUUUUCUGCUCUUUAUUAUAAAAACAAAAUUAUCCUUUCUAUCAAACUAUAACCAAAAAAGUGUGGCCUCUCACACUUUUUUCUCAAAGUCAAACUGUCCUUAAUAAAAAAUUAUAAUCACAAACAAAUAUAAUUAUAGCAAGUACAAUCAAUACUCAAGUGGUUUGGAUAAAAAGUUGAUAAUUCUAAGGAGAAGGUGAUCCAAACGACCUUAAUUUUUUAACCUAAAGCUUAUUAUUUGAGUCUGAGAAGUUUGCCUUUAUAGUUAUGCUUUUAUUAAUUCUGUAUUAAUAGUUGAAUUUUUCUGAGUAUAUCACAACUAAACAGAAGUGGGUUAGCCCGUUGAAAAGUGAAAAGUUUUACAUUAAUAUAAAGUAUCCAAAUAGAAAUCAUAAUUAUUUCUACUAACUAGAUCAUUUAGUUAGAAGACCUUCUUACUUCAGCUAUAAUUGCAUCAAAUGUGAUACAUAGAACCUUUUGAGGCUAGAAGAGAGACAAAAUGAUCAUUUAUCCAUAUUUCAUUCAGCACACAAAGUCCCAGAGUCCAAGAUAGCUUUCCCCAGGAACUCUCCUAGAAUAGGUAUUCAUAUCAGAAAGGUUUUUCCAUGAGGUCGAUGGUGGUAGAUAUGUAGCUGAGAGGUGCCUGUCAGAGAGACAAGAAACUAGGGUGACAGAUGAGGCAUGGACCAGAAAGGCAUUCAUGCAUCUCUAGCAGAUGCCAGCACUGGAGACUGAUGAUGGAGGACCAGAUGCCAACAUUUCCCCACUGCGAUGCUACUGCAGAUCCUAGAAAUUUGUCCUCCCAAAUGAUAUCACUUCUCAUAUAUGUUUAUUCUAAUUCACUUCACAAAAACGUGACUGUGCGUUAUGAUUACAUAUAGUCAAACAAUGGUACUUAGAAUUACACGAGGCUGUGAAAUGUCCACAACUACUCAUAUUAGUGGGUGUGGAUUCUAAAGAAAUAUGGAAUUUCCCUGAAUAAGAAAGGGCAAGAGGGCUUUAAAUUUAGUGUAGGCUGGAAAGGUUGCAGAAUAAUAAAGGCUUGUAUAAAUAAAGGAAAAUUCUGUUUAGAUACCUAGGACACAGCGAAUCUUUCAAAAUAUUUCACUAUAUUGUUCUUACCUAUUGCUGUUCUGGAUACAUGAAAUAAAAAUGACAGUUACUUAGGCUUGGAUUGACAUUGCUCUUAAUUUAAAAAGAAGUAUGUUCCAAAGUUUUAAAUUAUAACCUAAAUCUUCAUUACCUAUAUAGAAUGCAAUAAUAUUUUAAUAAGACAGUGCACUGACUCUAAAAUUUGGCCUUCCUAAACAUCCUGAAUAUAGUUAUUAAAACCUUUCAGGAGGGAUCCCUGGGUGGCGCAGUGGUUUGGCGCCUGCCUUUGGCACAGGGCGUGAUCCUGGAGACCCAGGUUCGAAUCCCAUAUCAGGCUCCCGUUGCAUGGAGCCUGCUUCUCCCUCUGCCUGUGUCUCUGCCCCUCUCUCUCUCUCUCUCUGUGACUAUCAUAAAUAAAUAAAAAUUAAAAAAUAAAUAAAUAAAACCUUUCAGGAGCACCUGGGUGGUUCAGUGGUUGAGUGUCUGCCUUUGGCUCAGGUCAUGAUCCCAGGGUCCUGGGAUCGAAUCCCACAUCACCCCACAGGCAGCCUGCUUCUCUCUCUGCCUAUGUCUUUGCCUCUCUCUGUGUGUUUCUCAUGAAUAAAUAAAUAAAAUAUUUUUAAAAAAUAAAAUAAAACCAUUCAAUGCAGCAUCUGUCAUAUUACUUCCCUUGUAAAAACAUCUCAUGGCUCUCUACUGAGCAUCACAAAAUACAGACUCCUGUUAUUGUUUUUUGAAUAGUUCUCACACCACUUUACUUAUUGAAACAUCUAUCACACUUCCAAAAUAUAAUUUCGUAAGAAAUAUCAUCUCACUAUUUCAGUAUUUUAUGUACAUCUGUUUUUGUCAACGGUUAUAUAAGAUAAGUAACUUGAUGGCAGUAAUAUCAAUUGACCUCUUUGUGUCACAUUUCCUUAACUGAAAAAGGAAUGUUAUGUCGGUAGAGCCAAGCUGCCUUCCAACCCUAAGCUUCUUUUAGUUCAAUUUUCUCCAUUCUGCACAGCGCAUUGAUCAAGAUUAAACCAAAAGCAAGCACUAAAAUAGAAACUGGCUUAUUGACGAUGUGUUUUAGCAUAACAGAUUAUGUGAACCAAAGUGGAUGCUUGCACUGGCAUAAGAAGUUACUACUCCAACCAUAAUUACUUCUGUAUGUGUAAGGCAAUUUUGCUAUUAUAACUCAAAAAUUGUUUAAAUCAUGAAGAAACUAAAUUAAGGUUUAGUUGUGUUUGUAUCACAUGACAUAAUGUGCAUCAGUUGUUAGUAAUUCCUAUGUCUUUAGAGCUCUUCUGUUCACUACAGCACCACAAAACACAUUUGAUAAAAGGGGAAAAAUAAACAUGAUCCAGAGUUCAGUGCUAUUUGUUGUCUCCAAAAUCUCUGUUUAUAAUGGACGAUCUGUUUAGAACUGAUGAUUCAAAGCUUACAAUAUAGCAUUACAUUUUCAGACUCCACCUUCCUGGCCGGACACAAUGGUAGUUUAGAAACAAUAACAACAACAAAACAACAACACAGUAAGCUAGUUUUUAAUAGAGAAAAACCUAGGAUCACUAUAGGAUAAUUGCCCUAUAAUUUUCUUCCUCUAUAAUUUACUAUCAGAAUGCUUUCAUUCUUACUGCCAAAUGUUUUGGAGGAGCGGUCUACUCCUUGACCACUUAUUCUAUAUUGACUCAACUCAACAAUUGCACCCUGGGUUCCCUCAAUCAUUUUACUGAAUCUUCUUCUUUUUUUUUUUUUUUUUUUAAGUCUCUAGGAAACUCGUCAUUGCCAAUAGUAGAAGGUCACCUCAGUUCUUAAGGGUUUUUUUUUUUACCUCUCUUUAGAAUUUUACCACUAUCACCCGCUUUUAAAACUCUUAGCUACCUACUUUCAUGGCCCUGUGUUUCCUUAGUUCUCCAUCUGUCUCUGAUGUUCUUUUGCCUCUUUCAUUGGUUCUCAUUUGCCCACUUCUUUUUAAGAUUGACUGAUUGACUGAUUGAUUGAUUUGAGAAAGAGAGAGUGAAUAUAAGAGACAGCAUGAGCAAGGAGGGGGGAUAGAGGGAGAAACAGACGCCCCACAGAGCAGGGAGCCCGUCGUGUUCCCACUUCCUAAAAUCAAGUGUUCCACAUGGUAUUCUCUCCACCUUCUCCUUUCCUGUCAUUAUCUCACAAGCACAUUGGUUUGUGUGGUUUCAACUUUUUCCUCAGUGCAGAUGACGAUCAAAUUUGCAUCACGAUCCUGAUGUUUCGAGAUCUCCAGAUUCCUAAAUGCUUUUAUACUUGGAUGUUCCUAUGGCAAGUCCACUUCAACAUAACAGUUACAAACUGUUCUUCCCAACUCUAGGCUUUCUCUUUUAUCCUCCAUCUGUAUUUUAAAAAUCAAAAUCCUUCCAGCUACUGACAUUCAAAUCCACGAGUCAUCUCUAAAUCUUUCCACAGCUCACUUCACACAUCCAGUUGACCAAAUCAUAUUUACCUUGGUCAAGACUUGCAUA
This 6493-nucleotide long non-coding RNA is filed under the name Canis lupus familiaris (dog). RNAcentral describes it as "lncRNA (ENSCAFG00000053739.1)". The record is from RNAcentral. Lineage: Eukaryota; Metazoa; Chordata; Mammalia; Carnivora; Canidae.